Engraulis encrasicolus (European anchovy) is the source of this 549-nucleotide long non-coding RNA. RefSeq lists it as uncharacterized. The record is from RefSeq and is a predicted model, not a curated record. Lineage: Eukaryota; Metazoa; Chordata; Actinopteri; Clupeiformes; Engraulidae. The transcript has 4 exons.
AACCAGGGGAUGCUGUAGAAUGUUUUAGCUUGUGCAUCUAGUCACCAUGACUACAUAAUUUAAGAAACUAACGAAUCGGUGAAUCAUCAUUCAAAGCCAACCGUUUUCUCUGUUGGGUUGAUUCCCAUUUUGAGCCUCUGCCUGAACGUCAUCAUGGGCAACUUGGUACUUGGCAGCGGUUCAGUUCAGCCCCGGUCAGGCGAGAGCGAAUGGGAUUCAUCGCUGACCGAUUGCAGCACGGGCGUGCCGUGCCUUAUGUGUGUCCAGACAUUCCUUUGCACAGGUUUAACGGUCGGUCAGGUAUCAGAGCAGUAUGGUGAAGGCUUUGGCCUCGCAUUCACACCUAUGUCCCAGGUUAUGCUUCGAACUGAGCUGCGGGAGAGAUACAACAUCAAGGGUAGCAUAUGCAAGGACGUUUGUGCCAGUAUAUGUUGUGGACCAUGCACCGUUCUUCAGAUGUACAAAGAAGUGGACAAGAGGCACCCGUAUUGAGAGCCUUGGCCGUACAGCUAAACUGUGAGGAAAAUAAAAUGUACGCCCGAAAAGAGA